RNAcentral lists this ribosomal RNA (468 nucleotides) under uncultured bacterium. RNAcentral describes it as "partial 16S ribosomal RNA". It matches the Rfam family "Bacterial small subunit ribosomal RNA", at positions 28 to 507 of the family's 1533-position model. The record is from RNAcentral.
GACGAACGCUGGCGGCGUGCUUAACACAUGCAAGUCGAACGGAAAGGCCCUGCUUUUGUGGGGUGCUCGAGUGGCGAACGGGUGAGUAACACGUGAGUAACCUGCCCUUGACUUUGGGAUAACUUCAGGAAACUGGGGCUAAUACCGCAUAGGAGCUCUUGCUGCACGGUGGGGGUUGGAAAGUUUCGGCGGUUGGGGAUGGACUCGCGGCUUAUCAGCUUGUUGGUGGGGUAGUGGCUUACCAAGGCUUUGACGGGUAGCCCGCCUGGGAGGGUGACCGGCCACAUUGGGACUGAGGUACGGCCCAGACUCCUACGGGAGGCAGCAGUGGGGAAUAUUGCACAAUGGGCGGAAGCCUGAUGCAGAAGCGCCGCGUGCGGGAUGACGGGCUUCGGGUUGUAAACCGCUUUGGCCUGUGACGAGGAGUGAGUGACGGUAAUGGGUAAAGAAGCAACGGCUAACUACGUG